Molecule: ribosomal RNA, 510 nt
Filed under: uncultured bacterium
Lineage: Bacteria
Description: partial 16S ribosomal RNA
Rfam family: Bacterial small subunit ribosomal RNA
Source: RNAcentral
GACGAACGCUGGCGGCGUGCUUAACACAUGCCAGUCGAACGAAGAGCGAUGGAAGCUUGCUUCUAUCAAUCUUAGUGGCGAACGGGUGAGUAACGCGUAAUCAACCUGCCCUUCAGAGGGGGACAACAGUUGGAAACGACUGCUAAUACCGCAUACGAUCUAAUCUCGGCAUCGAGGAUAGAUGAAAGGUGGCCUCUACAUGUAAGCUAUCACUGAAGGAGGGGAUUGCGUCUGAUUAGCUAGUUGGAGGGGUAACGGCCCACCAAGGCGAUGAUCAGUAGCCGGUCUGAGAGGAUGAACGGCCACAUUGGGACUGAGACACGGCCCAGACUCCUACGGGAGGCAGCAGUGGGGAAUCUUCCGCAAUGGACGAAAGUCUGACGGAGCAACGCCGCGUGAGCGAUGACGGCCUUCGGGUUGUAAAGCUCUGUUAAUCGGGACGAAAGGCCUUCUUGCGAAUAGUGAGAAGGAUUGACGGUACCGGAAUAGAAAGCCACGGCUAACUACGUG